Molecule: ribosomal RNA, 373 nt
Filed under: uncultured organism
Description: bacterial SSU rRNA
Rfam family: Bacterial small subunit ribosomal RNA
Source: RNAcentral
CGGGGGGGGCAAGCGUUGUUCGGAAUUACUGGGCGUAAAGGGUUCGUAGGUGGCCAACUAAGUCAGACGUGAAAUCCCUCAGCUUAACUGGGGAACUGCGUCUGAUACUGGUGUGGCUUGAGUGCAGGAGAGGAACGCGGAAUUCCAGGUGUAGCGGUGAAAUGCGUAGAUAUCUGGAGGAACACCGGUGGCGAAGGCGGCGUUCUGGACUGCAACUGACACUGAGGAACGAAAGCCAGGGGGAGCAAACGGGAUUAGAUACCCCGGUAGUCCUGGCCCUAAACGAUGAAUGCUUGGUGUGGCGGGUAUCGAUCCCUGCCGUGCCGAAGUUAACGCGAUAAGCAUUCCGCCUGGGGAUACGGUCGCAAGGCUG